AGAGUUUGAUCCUGGCUCAGAACGAACGCUGGCGGCAGGCUUAAUACAUGCAAGUCGAACGGUUGUAGCAAUACAGCAGUGGCAGACGGGUGAGUAACACGUGGGAACCUACCUAGGGGUACGGAAUAACUCAGGGAAACUUGUGCUAAUACCGUAUACGACCUCAGGGUGAAAGAUUUAUCGCCCAGGGAUGAGCCCGCGUAGGAUUAGCUAGUUGGUGAGGUAAAGGCUCACCAAGGCGACGAUCCUUAGCUGGUCUGAGAGGAUGAUCAGCCACACUGGGACUGAGACACGGCCCAGACUCCUACGGGAGGCAGCAGUAGGGAAUAUUGGACAAUGGGGGCAACCCUGAUCCAGCAAUGCCGCGUGAGUGAUGAAGGCCUUAGGGUUGUAAAGCUCUUUUACCCGGGAUGAUAAUGACAGUACCGGGAGAAUAAGCCCCGGCUAACUCCGUGCCAGCAGCCGCGGUAAUACGGAGGGGGCUAGCGUUGUUCGGAAUUACUGGGCGUAAAGCGCACGUAGGCGGCGAUUUAAGUCAGAGGUGAAAGCCCGGGGCUCCACCCCGGAAUAGCCUUUGAGACUGGAUUGCUUGAACAUCGGAGAGGUGAGUGGAAUUCCGAGUG
RNAcentral lists this ribosomal RNA (623 nucleotides) under uncultured Sphingobium sp. RNAcentral's name for it is "bacterial SSU rRNA". It matches the Rfam family "Bacterial small subunit ribosomal RNA", at positions 8 to 675 of the family's 1533-position model. The record is from RNAcentral. Lineage: Bacteria; Pseudomonadati; Pseudomonadota; Alphaproteobacteria; Sphingomonadales; Sphingobiaceae.